AUCUAUCUGAUGAGUCCCAAACAGGACAAAACGCACGUCCUGGAC
RNAcentral lists this non-coding RNA (45 nucleotides) under Schistosoma mansoni. The record is from RNAcentral. Lineage: Eukaryota; Metazoa; Platyhelminthes; Trematoda; Strigeidida; Schistosomatidae.